Molecule: transfer RNA, 69 nt
Filed under: Physiculus nematopus (charcoal mora)
Lineage: Eukaryota; Metazoa; Chordata; Actinopteri; Gadiformes; Moridae
Description: tRNA-Glu
Rfam family: tRNA
About the family: Transfer RNA (tRNA) molecules are approximately 80 nucleotides in length. Their secondary structure includes four short double-helical elements and three loops (D, anti-codon, and T loops).
Source: RNAcentral
AUUCCCGUAGUUGAAAUACAACGUUGGUUUUUCAAGUCAAUGGUCCUGAUGAGAAUUCAGGUGGGAAUG